CUCAUCCCUAGAGACAAGGAGCACAUAGACACACAUUUUAAACAGCUGUCAUAAAUUUUUUUCUUAGAAUUUUGAGCUUCAAACUUGAUUAUUUUAAGUCUAAUCUACAUCCAUAGAUCACUCAAAAGUGUGUCAUAACUUACUUGUUGGGCUCUUUUUCAUUGAUUUCUCCAUCAUCACAUUCUUUUAGCUUCCAGUCCAUGAUCUGACCGAUGACUGGUGUCGUCAUCAAGCACAAGAGUUGCAUCAUGCCAAAAAUGGAGGUGUAGAGACUCACUGGGGGAGCAAAAGAGAGGCAGAAUAUAACACUGUGUCAUAGAUAAUAGAGGAUUAUCAUGAAAGCACAUUCAAACAUGCAUAUUCACCCGUAUUGAAAUCUCCUCCGCUGAGGGACUCCAAGAUAUUGUUCAUGGCUCCCAUGUAGAAGAUGAGACGCAGUUGAGUUACACACAUGGUCACCAGACUCAACAUGAAGAGAGGGCUGAAAAUACUCUGCAUGAAU
Molecule: long non-coding RNA, 502 nt
Organism: Carassius carassius (crucian carp)
Lineage: Eukaryota; Metazoa; Chordata; Actinopteri; Cypriniformes; Cyprinidae
Exons: 2
Source: RefSeq, a predicted model, not a curated record